GUGCCUUCAGUAAAUGUCAUUUUGAAAUAUCAUAAUACUACAAAAGCAGUGGAUCGACAUGUUACACCCGAGAUGUUUCAAAGAAUUGUUACAAAGACAGGCAUUUUCAUUCCUAUUGGAACAUCAAUUUGUAGACUGUGUAGAGAAAAACUAUUUGGAAAUAACAGUAUUGAGCAUGUUGAGGAGGAGAACACUAUUGAGACAAAUACAAAGAACAAGAUUGCAGAAGCUGAAAUACUACCACCUUAAAGAAAGAGGG
Molecule: long non-coding RNA, 259 nt
Organism: Mytilus californianus (California mussel)
Lineage: Eukaryota; Metazoa; Mollusca; Bivalvia; Mytilida; Mytilidae
Exons: 3
Source: RefSeq, a predicted model, not a curated record